RNAcentral lists this ribosomal RNA (254 nucleotides) under uncultured bacterium. RNAcentral describes it as "partial 16S ribosomal RNA". It matches the Rfam family "Bacterial small subunit ribosomal RNA", at positions 524 to 776 of the family's 1533-position model. The record is from RNAcentral.
UACGUAGGGUCCAAGCGUUAUCCGGAAUUACUGGGCGUAAAGAGUUGCGUAGGUGGCAUUGUAAGCGAGUAGUGAAAGCGUUCGGCUCAACCGGAUACACAUUAUUUGAACUGCAAAGCUAGAGGACGAGAGAGGUUAUUGGAAUUCCCAGUGUAGGAGUGAAAUCCGUAGAUAUUGGGAGGAACACCGAUGGCGUAGGCAGAUAACUGGCUCGUUCCUGACACUAAGGCACGAAAGCGUGGGUAGCAAACGGG